AUACGUAGGUGGCAAGCGUUGUCCGGAAUUAUUGGGCGUAAAGCGCAUGUAGGCGGUAAUUUAAGUCUGUCGUGAAACUGCGGGGCUCAGCCCCGUAUGGCGAUGGAAACUGGGUUACUUGAGUGCAGGAGAGGAAAGGGGAACUCCCAGUGUAGCGGUGAAAUGCGUAGAUAUUGGGAAGAACACCGGUGGCGAAGGCGCCUUUCUGGACUGUGGCUGACGCUGAGAUGCGAAAGCCAGGGUAGCGAACGGGAUUAGAUACCCCGGUAGUCCUGGCCGUAAACGAUGGGUACUAGGUGUGGGAGGUAUCGACCCCUUCCGUGCCGGAGUUAACGCAAUAAGUACCCCGCCUGGGGAGUACGGCCGCAAGGCUUAAACUUAAAGGAAUUGACGGGG
This 396-nucleotide ribosomal RNA is filed under the name uncultured bacterium. Its description in RNAcentral is "partial 16S ribosomal RNA". It matches the Rfam family "Bacterial small subunit ribosomal RNA", at positions 523 to 918 of the family's 1533-position model. The record is from RNAcentral.